RNAcentral lists this transfer RNA (79 nucleotides) under Ixodes scapularis (black-legged tick). It matches the Rfam family "tRNA". From Rfam's summary of the family: Transfer RNA (tRNA) molecules are approximately 80 nucleotides in length. Their secondary structure includes four short double-helical elements and three loops (D, anti-codon, and T loops). Further hydrogen bonds mediate the characteristic L-shaped molecular structure. tRNAs have two regions of fundamental functional importance: the anti-codon, which is responsible for specific mRNA codon recognition, and the 3' end, to which the tRNAs corresponding amino acid is attached (by aminoacyl-tRNA synthetases). tRNAs cope with the degeneracy of the genetic code in two manners: having more than one tRNA (with a specific anti-codon) for a particular amino acid; and 'wobble' base-pairing, i.e. permitting non-standard base-pairing at the 3rd anti-codon position. Lineage: Eukaryota; Metazoa; Arthropoda; Arachnida; Ixodida; Ixodidae. The record is from Rfam by way of RNAcentral.
GCAGCCGUGGCCGAGUGGUUAAGGCGAUCGACUAGAAAUCCAUUGGGGUCUCACACAGGUUCAAAUCCUGUCGACUGCG